RNAcentral lists this ribosomal RNA (407 nucleotides) under uncultured bacterium. RNAcentral describes it as "bacterial SSU rRNA". It matches the Rfam family "Bacterial small subunit ribosomal RNA", at positions 8 to 429 of the family's 1533-position model. The record is from RNAcentral.
AGAGUUUGAUCCUGGCUCAGAAUCAACGCUGGCGGCGUGCCUAACACAUGCAAGUCGCACGAGAAAGGGGCUUCGGCCCUGAGUACAGUGGCGCACGGGUGAGUAACACGUGAAUCAUCUACCUUCGAGUGGGGAAUAACUGAGAGAAAUCUUAGCUAAUACCGCAUAAUACCCAAGGGUCAAAGCAGCAAUGCGCUUGAAGAGGAGUUCGCGGCAGAUUAGUUAGUUGGCGGGGUAAUGGCCCACCAAGACGAUGAUCUGUAUCCGGCCUGAGAGGGCGCACGGACACACUGGAACUGAAACACGGUCCAGACUCCUACGGGAGGCAGCAGUGGGGAAUUUUGCGCAAUGGGGGAAACCCUGACGCAGCAACGCCGCGUGGAGGAUGAAAUCCCUUGGGAUGUAAA